UUUCCGUAGGUGAACCUGCGGAAGGAUCAUUAUUGAAAUAAACCUGAUGGGCUGUUGCUGGCUCUCUAGGGAGCAGGUGCACGCCCUGUCAUCUUUAUAUCUCCACCUGUGCACCUUUUAUAGACCUUCCCAGGUCUAUGUUGCUUCAUUUACCCCAAUGUAUGUCUAUAGAAUGUUUGUGCAUAUGAAAUAUAUACAACUUUCAGCAACGGAUCUCUUGGCUCUC
This 226-nucleotide unclassified non-coding RNA is filed under the name plant metagenome. Its description in RNAcentral is "partial contains small subunit ribosomal RNA, internal transcribed spacer 1, and 5.8S ribosomal RNA". The record is from RNAcentral.